This 459-nucleotide ribosomal RNA is filed under the name uncultured bacterium. RNAcentral's name for it is "partial 16S ribosomal RNA". It matches the Rfam family "Bacterial small subunit ribosomal RNA", at positions 338 to 795 of the family's 1533-position model. The record is from RNAcentral.
CCUACGGGAGGCUGCAGUGAGGAAUAUUGGUCAAUGGCCGGAAGGCUGAACCAGCCAAGCCGCGUGAAGGACGAAGGUGCCAAGCAUUGUAAACUUCUUUUGUCAAGGGACAAAAUCAGGCUCGAGAGCCUGACCGAGGGUACUUGAAGAAAAAGCAUCGGCUAACUCCGUGCCAGCAGCCGCGUGAAUACGGAGGAUGCGAGCGUUAUCCGGAUUUAUGGGGGUUAAAGGGUGCGUAGGCGGACUGUUAAGUCAGCGGUAAAAGCCCGGGGCUCAACCCCGGCGAGCCGUUGAAACGGGGUGUCUUGAGAUGUCGAGAGGUAUGCGGAAUGCGCAGUGUAGCGGUGAAAUGCUUAGAUAUUGCGCAGAACUCCGAUUGCGAAGGCAGGAUACCGGCGGCGAUCUGACGCUGAGGCACGAAAGCGUGGGUAUCGAACAGGAUUAGAUACCCUGGUAGUC